AAUCUUGCGCAAUGGGCGAAAGCCUGACGCAGCCAUGCCGCGUGUAUGAUGAAGGUCUUAGGAUUGUAAAAUACUUUCACCGGUGAAGAUAAUGACUGUAGCCGGAGAAGAAGCCCCGGCUAACUUCGUGCCAGCAGCCGCGGUAAUACGAAGGGGGCUAGCGUUGCUCGGAAUUACUGGGCGUAAAGGGAGCGUAGGCGGACAUUUAAGUCAGGGGUGAAAUCCCGGAGCUCAACUCCGGAACUGCCCUUGAUACUGGGUGUCUUGAGUGUGAGAGAGGUAUGUGGAACUCCGAGUGUAGAGGUGAAAUUCGUAGAUAUUCGGAAAAACACCAGUGGCGAAGGCGACAUACUGGCUCAUUACUGACGCUGAGGCUCGAAAGCGUGGGGAGCAAACAGG
RNAcentral lists this ribosomal RNA (399 nucleotides) under uncultured bacterium. RNAcentral describes it as "bacterial SSU rRNA". It matches the Rfam family "Bacterial small subunit ribosomal RNA", at positions 360 to 776 of the family's 1533-position model. The record is from RNAcentral.